RNAcentral lists this ribosomal RNA (465 nucleotides) under uncultured bacterium. Its description in RNAcentral is "partial 16S ribosomal RNA". It matches the Rfam family "Bacterial small subunit ribosomal RNA", at positions 29 to 507 of the family's 1533-position model. The record is from RNAcentral.
ACGAACGCUGGCGGCGUGCUUAACACAUGCAAGUCGAACGGAAAGGCCCUGCUUGCAGGGUACUCGAGUGGCGAACGGGUGAGUAACACGUGGGUGAUCUGCCCUGCACUUCGGGAUAAGCUUGGGAAACUGGGUCUAAUACCGGAUAGGAACCAUCUUUAGUGUGGUGGUUGGAAGGUUUUUUCGGUGUAGGAUGAGCUCGCGGCCUAUCAGCUUGUUGGUGGGGUAAUGGCCUACCAAGGCGGCGACGGGUAGCCGGCCUGAGAGGGUGUACGGCCACAUUGGGACUGAGAUACGGCCCAGACUCCUACGGGAGGCAGCAGUGGGGAAUAUUGCACAAUGGGCGCAAGCCUGAUGCAGCGACGCCGCGUGGGGGAUGAAGGCCUUCGGGUUGUAAACUCCUUUCGCUAGGGACGAAGCUUUGUUGUGACGGUACCUAGAUAAGAAGCACCGGCUAACUACGUG